ACACAUGCAGUCGAGCGGUAACAGGAGAAGCUUGCUUCUCGCUGACGAGCGGCGGACGGGUGAGUAAUACUUAGGAAUCUACCUAGUAGUGGGGGAUAGCUCGGGGAAACUCGAAUUAAUACCGCAUACGACCUACGGGAGAAAGGGGGCAACUUGUUGCUCUCGCUAUUAGAUGAGCCUAAGUCGGAUUAGCUAGAUGGUGGGGUAAAGGCCUACCAUGGCGACGAUCUGUAGCUGGUCUGAGAGGAUGAUCAGCCACACCGGGACUGAGACACGGCCCGGACUCCUACGGGAGGCAGCAGUGGGGAAUAUUGGACAAUGGGGGCAACCCUGAUCCAGCCAUGCCGCGUGUGUGAAGAAGGCCUUUUGGUUGUAAAGCACUUUAAGCAGUGAAGAAGACUCCAUGGUUAAUACCCAUGGACGAUGACAUUAGCUGCAGAAUAAGCACCGGCUAACUCUGUGCCAGCAGCCGCGGUAAUACAGAGGGUGCAAGCGUUAAUCGGAAUUACUGGGCGUAAAGCGAGCGUAGGUGGCUUGAUAAGUCAGAUGUGAAAGCCCCGGGCUUAACCUGGGAACGGCAUCUGAUACUGUUAGGCUAGAGUAGGUGAGAGGAAGGUAGAAUUCCAGGUGUAGCGGUGAAAUGCGUAGAGAUCUGGAGGAAUACCGAUGGCGAAGGCAGCCUUCUGGCAUCAUACUGACACUGAGGUUCGAAAGCGUGGGUAGCAAACAGGAUUAGAUAC
RNAcentral lists this ribosomal RNA (740 nucleotides) under bacterium xpnta664lb727off11.20. Its description in RNAcentral is "bacterial SSU rRNA". It matches the Rfam family "Bacterial small subunit ribosomal RNA", at positions 51 to 785 of the family's 1533-position model. The record is from RNAcentral.